RNAcentral lists this ribosomal RNA (475 nucleotides) under uncultured Hyphomicrobiales bacterium. RNAcentral's name for it is "bacterial SSU rRNA". It matches the Rfam family "Bacterial small subunit ribosomal RNA", at positions 8 to 527 of the family's 1533-position model. Lineage: Bacteria; Pseudomonadati; Pseudomonadota; Alphaproteobacteria; Hyphomicrobiales. The record is from RNAcentral.
AGGGUUUGAUCAUGGCUCAGAACGAACGCUGGCGGCAGGCCUCAAACAUGCAAGUCUAGGGGGUGUAGCAAUACAUCACCGGCGGACGGGUGCGUAACGCGUGGGAAUGUACCUAUUGGUUCGGAACAACUGAGGGAAACUUCAGCUAAUACCGAAUGUGCCCGUAAGGGGAAAGAUUUAUCGCCAAUGGAUCAGCCCGCGUAGGAUUAGCUAGUUGGUGAGGUAAUGGCUCACCAAGGCUCCGAUCCUUAGCUGUUCUGAGAGGAAGAUCAGCCACACUGGGACUGAGACACGGCCCAGACUCCUACGGGAGGCAGCAGUUGGGAAUCUUGGACAAUGGGGGAAACCCUGAUCCAGCCAUGCCGCGUGAGUGAUGAAGGCCUUCGGGUUGUAAAACUCUUUCGACGGGGACGAUAAUGACGGUACCCGUAGAAGAAGCUCCGGCUAACUUCGUGCCAGCCGCCGCGGUAAUACA